RNAcentral lists this ribosomal RNA (509 nucleotides) under uncultured bacterium. RNAcentral's name for it is "partial 16S ribosomal RNA". The record is from RNAcentral.
GGAGUUAGCCGGUGCUUCUUCUGUGAGUGAUGUCCUUCCUGCCGGCUAUUAACCCGCAGGCCUUCUUCCUCACUGAAAGUGCUUUACAACCCGAAGGCCUUCUUCACACACGCGGCAUGGCUGGAUCAGGGUUGCCCCCAUUGUCCAAUAUUCCCCACUGCUGCCUCCCGUAGGAGUCUGGGCCGUGUCUCAGUCCCAGUGUGGCUGAUCAUCCUCUCAGACCAGCUACGGAUCGUCGCCUUGGUGAGCCGUUACCUCACCAACCAGCUAAUCCGACAUAGGCUCAUCCGAUAGCGCGAGGCCCGAAGGUCCCCCGCUUUCCCCCGUAGGGCGUAUGCGGUAUUAGCCUGGGUUUCCCCAGGGUUAUCCCCCACUACCCGGGCAGAUUCCUAUGCAUUACUCACCCGUCCGCCGCUCGCCACCAGGGAGCAAGCUCCCCGUGCUGCCGCUCGACUUGCAUGUGUUAGGCCUGCCGCCAGCGUUCAAUCUGAGCCAUAAUCAAACUCUGA